GACGAACGCUGGCGGCGUGCUUAACACAUGCCAGUCGAACGGAAAGGCCCUGCUUUUGUGGGGUGCUCGAGUGGCGAACGGGUGAGUAACACGUGAGUAACCUGCCCUUGACUUUGGGAUAACUUCAGGAAACUGGGGCUAAUACCGGAUAGGAGCUCCUGCUGCAUGGUGGGGGUUGGAAAGUUUCGGCGGUUGGGGAUGGACUCGCGGCUUAUCAGCUUGUUGGUGGGGUAGUGGCUUACCAAGGCAUUGACGGGUAGCCGGCCUGAGAGGGUGACCGGCCACAUUGGGCCUGAGAUACGGCCCAGACUCCUACGGGAGGCAGCAGUGGGGAAUAUUGCACAAUGGGCGGAAGCCUGAUGCAGCAACGCCGCGUGCUGGAUGACUGCCUUCGGGUUGUAAACCGCUUUCGCCUGUGACGAAGCGUGAGUGACGGUAAUGGGUAAAGAAGCACCGGCUAACUACGUG
This 468-nucleotide ribosomal RNA is filed under the name uncultured bacterium. RNAcentral describes it as "partial 16S ribosomal RNA". It matches the Rfam family "Bacterial small subunit ribosomal RNA", at positions 28 to 507 of the family's 1533-position model. The record is from RNAcentral.